ACCCGCUGAAUUUAAGCAUAUAAGUAAGCGGAGGACUUUAAACCAAAAGGGAUUCCUUCAGUAACGGCGAGUGAACAGGGAGUAGCUCAGCAUGGAAAUUGGGGCUGGUAGCCUUGAGUUGUAGUCCGGAGAUGUGUUGCCAAUGGCGGGGGCAGAUGUAAGCCUCUUGGAAGAGAGCACUGAUGAGGGUGACGGUCCUGNUUGUCAUCUGUCAGCUUCCAUGNACGGCGUGCGUCCUACGAGUCACGUUCCUUGGGCUUGGAGCGCCAAUGUGGUGGUAAUUUUCACCCCAAGCUAAAUACACGUUCAGGACCGACAGCAAACAAGUACCAUGAGGGAAAGGUGAAAAGGACUUUGAGAAGAGUGUUAAAAGUGCAUGAACUUGCUGAACAUAAGUGAAUGGAACAUGUUUUGUCGUGGUGAGAUUGCCAUGCUUGUCUGUGGCGCGCGGCGCCUGAUUCCGCAAGUAUUGCAGCNUUGUGCGGUUUGCGUAUGUGUGGUGUUUCCUGCCUUGCUAGUCACUGUGAGCGUGCAAGUGUGCAUGAGACCGGGACUUUGUGUGUUUACUAGCGGUGGUCACUUAUGUCUUGAGCUCGCAUGCUUGUNCACUGCUUGGUGUGUGCCAGGGUGGUGUGUUGUGGGCUGCUCUUUGUUGCUGAGAAACUGUCUUUUCAUAAGGGGUGUGCCUGCGACAUAUUCUUGUUCGCACCGGCAUUGACUAAAUGGCUCCAUUCGACCCGUCUUGAAACACGGACCAAGGAGUCUAACGCAUGUGUAAGUUUCCUGGUGGUGAGCCUGCGUGCGACAUGAAAGUGUUUGUUGGGAUUCUGUGCACUAACAAUGGACCGAUCGUNUGGGAGAGGUUUGAGUUUGAUCACAUGCGUUAGGACCCGAAAGAUGGUGAACUAUGCCUGAGGAGGGCAAAUNCAGGGGAAACUCUGAUGGAGGCUUGUAGCGAUACUGACGUGCAAAUCGUUCGUCUCACUUGGGUAUAGGGGCGAAAGACUAAUCGAACCAUCUAGUAGCUGGUUCCCUCCGA
Molecule: ribosomal RNA, 1039 nt
Filed under: Lingulaulax polyedra
Lineage: Eukaryota; Dinophyceae; Gonyaulacales; Lingulodiniaceae
Description: LSU rRNA
Rfam family: Eukaryotic large subunit ribosomal RNA
Source: RNAcentral